This 569-nucleotide ribosomal RNA is filed under the name uncultured bacterium. RNAcentral's name for it is "partial 16S ribosomal RNA". It matches the Rfam family "Bacterial small subunit ribosomal RNA", at positions 355 to 918 of the family's 1533-position model. The record is from RNAcentral.
UGGGGAAUUUUGGACAAUGGGCGAAAGCCUGAUCCAGCAAUGCCGCGUGUGUGAAGAAGGCCUUCGGGUUGUAAAGCACUUUUGUCCGGAAAGAAAUCCUUGGCUCUAAUACAGUCGGGGGAUGACGGUACCGGAAGAAUAAGCACCGGCUAACUACGUGCCAGCAGCCGCGGUAAUACGUAGGGUGCAAGCGUUAAUCGGAAUUACUGGGCGUAAAGCGUGCGCAGGCGGUUUGCUAAGACCGAUGUGAAAUCCCCGGGCUCAACCUGGGAACUGCAUUGGUGACUGGCAGGCUAGAGUAUGCAGAGGGGGGUAGAAUUCCACGUGUAGCAGUGAAAUGCGUAGAGAUGUGGAGGAAUACCGAUGGCGAAGGCAGCCCCCUGGGCCAAUACUGACGCUCAUGCACGAAAGCGUGGGGAGCAAACAGGAUUAGAUACCCUGGUAGUCCACGCCCUAAACGAUGUCAACUAGUUGUUGGGGAUUCAUUUCCUUAGUAACGUAGCUAACGCGUGAAGUUGACCGCCUGGGGAGUACGGUCGCAAGAUUAAAACUCAAAGGAAUUGACGGGG